GAGGAGGGGGGAGGAUAAUGAGAGCGCGUCCCUGCGCUGAACGUUACAGGCUGUGACUGCGUGUGAACAGAGCGUUUUUAAAAGCACACAUGAACGUUUGAGGCGCCCACGCGUCCAGGCCUCCGCUCAGAGGCCGAUCCCAGUCUGACGUUAGAGGCGCCUCCGGCUCAGUGGAGGGAGUCCACACACGUGCAGGUUUGUCUCUGGGUCACGCGUCACAGCUUCAGACGUUAAUCAGCUCGAGGAGACGAGGAACGAGCCUUAACGUCGUUCACGCUAAAACAAGCUCGUUUUCAGGGACGAUCAGUGCUGAGAGAUGAGUUUAAACCUGCGCCCGAAUGUGAAUGUAAUGAGCUGCUGAGGUUCAGGCUUCUCUUAAUGAAUCAUCAGAUGUAAACAGACCGAAGCGCCUCCGUCCAGCAGAAAAAGCCUCCACACGUUUCCUGUGGAGUCAAACCUGCAAACGAGUCAAAGCCCUGAGAAACACACCAAAACGUAGACCUCCGUGUGUUGAAGCAUCAGGAGGUUAGUUCUUUCACUGGGUCCAACGUGACGCUUGCUUCCCACAAUGCAAUGCGUGGCUGUUGGAUAAUUUACGUGUAUUUGCUGCAGACAAACAGUAGAAAGACGUCAACUACAACAUUCUCUGAGGAAACGACCGUCAGUUCUGCUUCACUCAGAAUAAACCACCAACAAGCAGCUUCUAGAUGUAUUUUCACAUGUAACAACCUGAUGAAUGUUGGUUGAUUAAACAUUUUCAUCCUGUACAUCACACAUGUGAGCUAACGUGGUCACAAACAACCACUUCUCACAGCCGCUCCAAACCAGGCCCGGCCUUUAAUGAGCGUUCUAAUUAAACCUACAGUGAAGACGGCCGUGAACCAUUGGUUCAGGUUCUGACCCAGAACUCAGCUCUGUCUGGUUCUGAUGAUUCACGGAGAGAAACAGCGAAGCAGCUUCGUGUCCUGCUGUGACUCGACCUUUAUUAUUCAUGAAUGUAAACUGUUUGUAACUGCCUGUGAUGUUGUGACGUGUAGAUUUCUGUAAAUUCUGACUGUAACCAAACACAAGCUGUUGGUCCAACAACAGACGGGUCAUCGUCAACACAAGCGCGCGGCCUCUUUCUUCCUGUCUGAGUAACGUGUUCCACUCACAUUUCAUCACAGCCCUCGUCUCAUACCUGCUGUCAGGCCGGCGAUGAAGGAGCCAUGCUCCUCAUCCUCCCGGGGCGUUGGACGGCGCCAGGCUGCGGAUGGAAGUGGGUCAACCAUCCGGGUCUCUGCACCGGUAACAGUGGAGGAUGUGAAGAACCUGCUCAAAGUCCACAUGAAGCCAGAACCUCGGAGCUGAACCAGUGUUAGAGCUCGGUUCAGACGUAGAAGCCAGAAGCACUCACGGCGUCUCAGCUGCAGGAACCCGCUGGUGUCAUCAGACGUGAUGAACCUGCUCACUCAGCAUUAUCACAGCCCAGGUUCUGACACCAGAACCCAUCUGGCUGCUACCAGACGCACACACCCUGACUGAUCCACCUACAGAGAACAGAUCUGAGAGCGAUGCAUCAUUCACCAUCUGUUGUCGUCGCCGCUUUUUCAGGCAGCAGCUGCUGCGUCUGCAGCCUCACACUUCACAGCUUCACACGCGGAGGCUCAGACUCACGCCAGAGACGCAUUCAAAGCAUUUCAAGUAUAAAGUGUGUUUUUGGGCCAAUUAAUGAAAUGUGUAUGUGAUUAAAAGCAAUAAUCUGUGAUCA
This is a long non-coding RNA of Betta splendens (Siamese fighting fish), 1750 nucleotides long. RefSeq lists it as uncharacterized. The transcript has 2 exons. Lineage: Eukaryota; Metazoa; Chordata; Actinopteri; Anabantiformes; Osphronemidae. The record is from RefSeq and is a predicted model, not a curated record.